This 440-nucleotide ribosomal RNA is filed under the name uncultured bacterium. RNAcentral's name for it is "partial 16S ribosomal RNA". It matches the Rfam family "Bacterial small subunit ribosomal RNA", at positions 338 to 795 of the family's 1533-position model. The record is from RNAcentral.
CCUACGGGAGGCAGCAGUGGGGGAUAUUGCACAAUGGGGGGAACCCUGAUGCAGCGACGCCGCGUGGGUGAAGAAGCGCCUCGGUGCGUAAAGCCCUUUCAGCCGGGAAGCAAAUGACGGUACCUGUAGAAGAAGCCCCGGCUAACUACGUCCCAGCAGCCGCGGUAAUACGUAGGGGGCACGCGUUCUCCGGAUUUAAUGGGUGUAAAGGGGGCGCAUACGGCUGUGCAAGCUAGGAGUGAAAGCCCGGGGCACAAACCCGGUACGGCUCGUGGAACUGCGUGGCUGGAGUGCAGGAGGGGCAGGCGGAAUGCCUGGUGUAGCGGUGAAAUGCGGAGAUAGCAGGAGGAACACCGGUGGCGAAGGCGGCCUGCUGGACUGCAACUGACGUUGAGGCCCGAAAGCGUGGGGAGCAAACAGGAUUAGAUACCCGUGUAGUC